UGAGGAAUAUUGGUCAAUGGGCGAGAGCCUGAACCAGCCAAGUAGCGUGCAGGAUGACGGCCCUAUGGGUUGUAAACUGCUUUUAUGUGGGGAUAAAGUGCGUGACGUGUCAUGCAUUGCAGGUACCACAUGAAUAAGGACCGGCUAAUUCCGUGCCAGCAGCCGCGGUAAUACGGAAGGUCCGGGCGUUAUCCGGAUUUAUUGGGUUUAAAGGGAGCGUAGGCUGUCUAUUAAGCGUGUUGUGAAAUUUACCGGCUCAACCGGUGGCUUGCAGCGCGAACUGGUCGACUUGAGUAUGCAGGAAGUAGGCGGAAUUCAUGGUGUAGCGGUGAAAUGCUUAGAUAUCAUGACGAACUCCGAUUGCGCAGGCAGCUUACUGUAGCAUAACUGACGCUGAGGCUCGAAAGUGCGGGUAUCAAACAGG
Molecule: ribosomal RNA, 424 nt
Filed under: Verrucomicrobiota bacterium
Lineage: Bacteria; Pseudomonadati; Verrucomicrobiota
Description: Verrucomicrobia bacterium partial 16S ribosomal RNA
Rfam family: Bacterial small subunit ribosomal RNA
Source: RNAcentral